UGAGGGUAAUUAAGUUGUGUAGAUCCUAAGGAACUGUCAUGCAGUUAAAGUCAAUAUUAUGUGCUCUCCAUCCAAUGAUCUUAGCUACUUCUGUCCUUAGAAGUAUGCAACCACUUACACCUACCAUAUUCACUAUGUGCUACUUCUGUUCCUCGAAGUAUCACCCAUAUAUACGCACUACACUAUGUGUUGUUUCUAUCCUGGAGACACGCACCUAUGCUACUCGUACCCUGGGAGUAUGCAUUCCUCUAUUCAUUCACCCAUACAUAUUUCACAUCCACUUAGAAAAUGUUCUACUCCUACACUAGGAGAAGACACCCAAAAAUAUUCGUUAUGUAUUAUUCAACUUAUCUAAUAAAGCUCUAGUUAUUUCAGUUGAUAUUCCCUAUUGUUAUCAGUACAUUAAAAGGGUUGGCUGAUCUAAAAAAGAGAAAAGAAAAGAAAGAGAACAAAAGUCCCAAAAGAAAAGAAAGACAGCCAAGUCCUUAUUUUUAGAAUAGGGAAAUAAGUUAUCCCCAAGGAGCAAAAGCGGAAUUAGAUAUUAACCAUCAGUUAUCACCCCUCAUUGUUACCCUCACUAUUAUCAUUACUCACUUCAUUCAUUGUACUAACAUGCACAUAUGGCUUGAUUGUGUAAUUAGUUUUUCUAGAUCCACAGUUUAACUAUGCAAUACAUGCAAGUAGGUUUGAAUUGUCUUUUCCACCUAUGAGCUCCACAUAAGCCAAUUAGAAAUAGGGUGGGAGAGAGAAGGCAACUAUGCCUUAGUCCUACAAAUACUAGCUAUUCUGAGAGAAGGCAUAUUCACUUGCCUUGGAGAGGAUCCAAAAUACAACUUAUGAGAGAUUGGAAAUAGUCAUACAAGGAAUCUCUGAGUUUUAUUUGAAAAUAUUGCAAAAACUCUGGAAUAAUAGUUGAUCAAAAGAGUGAAUAGCAUAGUGCUUGACUUAACUAUUCUAUCUUUCAACUGC
Molecule: long non-coding RNA, 969 nt
Filed under: Sorghum bicolor (sorghum)
Lineage: Eukaryota; Viridiplantae; Streptophyta; Magnoliopsida; Poales; Poaceae
Description: long non-coding RNA (SBIC_LNC003175)
Source: RNAcentral